GGAAUAUGUGGUUUGAUAAGCGUGAAUCCACUCCGAUCAAUUUGGACUUGUUCGCAUUCGCAAUGCGAAGGUCGGGAGUUCGAUCCUCCUCCUCUCCACCA
This 101-nucleotide transfer RNA is filed under the name Caballeronia sp. LZ033. RNAcentral describes it as "tRNA-Ser". Lineage: Bacteria; Pseudomonadati; Pseudomonadota; Betaproteobacteria; Burkholderiales; Burkholderiaceae. The record is from RNAcentral.